RNAcentral lists this ribosomal RNA (270 nucleotides) under uncultured archaeon. RNAcentral describes it as "partial 16S ribosomal RNA". It matches the Rfam family "Archaeal small subunit ribosomal RNA", at positions 477 to 747 of the family's 1478-position model. The record is from RNAcentral.
CAGCACCUCAAGUGGUCAGGAUGAUUAUUGGGCCUAAAGCAUCCGUAGCCGGCGCUGUAAGUUUUCGGUUAAAUCCGUACGCUCAACGUACAGGCUGCCGGGAAUACUGCAGCGCUAGGGAGUGGGAGAGGUAGACGGUACUCGGUAGGAAGGGGUAAAAUCCUUUGAUCUAUUGAUGACCACCUGUGGCGAAGGCGGUCUACCAGAACACGUCCGACGGUGAGGGAUGAAAGCUGGGGGAGCAAACCGGAUUAGAUACCCGAGUAGUCC